GACGAACGCUGGCGGCGUGCUUAACACAUGCAAGUCGAACGAAGUGUCGAACGGGUGAGUAAUACGUGGGUAACCUGCCCUCCUUUUUGGGAUAAUCCUUGGAAACGGGGUCUAAUACCGAAUAACGGGGGAUUGGCUCGCGGCCUAUCAGCUUGUUGGUGGGGUGAUGGCCUACCAAGGCGGUGACAGGUAGCCGGCCUGAGAGGGUUAGCGGCAAAAUUCGGUAUAAGAUACGGCACAGAUUCCUACAGGAGGAAGCAGUGGGUGAUAUUGCACAAUGGGAGAAAGCAUAAUGCAGAGACGAAGCGUGGGGGAUGAAGGCGUUAGGGUUGUAAACCGCUUACGAUGUGGAAAGGGUAGGUGGAGAGGAAGCGCAGGCUAACUACGUGCCAGGAGCCGCGGUAAUAC
RNAcentral lists this ribosomal RNA (408 nucleotides) under uncultured bacterium. Its description in RNAcentral is "partial 16S ribosomal RNA". It matches the Rfam family "Bacterial small subunit ribosomal RNA", at positions 28 to 526 of the family's 1533-position model. The record is from RNAcentral.